RNAcentral lists this ribosomal RNA (253 nucleotides) under uncultured bacterium. RNAcentral describes it as "partial 16S ribosomal RNA". It matches the Rfam family "Bacterial small subunit ribosomal RNA", at positions 524 to 776 of the family's 1533-position model. The record is from RNAcentral.
UACGAAGGGUGCAAGCGUUAUUCGGAGUUACUGGGCGUAAAGAGUAUGUAGGCGGUUUGUUAAGUUAGUUGUUAAAUACCACGGCUCAACUGUGGAAAGGCAGCUAAAACUGACGAGCUAGAGCGCAGAAGAGAGGAGUGGAAUUCCCGGAGUAGCGGUAAAAUGCGUAGAUCUCGGGAGGAACACCGGUUGCGAAGGCGGCUUCUUGGUCUGUGGCUGACGCUAAAGUACGAAAGCGUGGGGAGCAAACAGG